Molecule: ribosomal RNA, 497 nt
Filed under: uncultured bacterium
Lineage: Bacteria
Description: partial 16S ribosomal RNA
Rfam family: Bacterial small subunit ribosomal RNA
Source: RNAcentral
GAUGAACGCUGGCGGCGUGCCUAAUACAUGCAAGUCGAGCGAACGGACGAGAAGCUUGCUUCUCUGAUGUUAGCGGCGGACGGGUGAGUAACACGUGGAUAACCUACCUAUAAGACUGGGAUAACUUCGGGAAACCGGAGCUAAUACCGGAUAAUCUUUUGAACCGCAUGGUUCAAAAGUGAAAGACGGUCUUGCUGUCACUUAUCGAUGGAUCCGCGCUGCAUUAGCUAGUUGGUAAGGUAACGGCUUACCAAGGCAACGAUGCAUAGCCGACCUGAGAGGGUGAUCGGCCACACUGGAACUUAGACACGGUCCAGACUCCUACGGGAGGCAGCAGUAGGGAAUCUUCCGCAGUGGGCGAAAGCCUGACGGAGCAACGCCGCGUGAGUGAUGAAGGUCUUCGGAUCGUAAAGCUCUGUUAUGAGGGAAGAACAUAUGUGUAAGUAACUGUGCACAUCUUGACGGUACCUAAUCAGAAAGCCACGGCUAACUACGUG